This 765-nucleotide ribosomal RNA is filed under the name uncultured Streptococcus sp. RNAcentral's name for it is "bacterial SSU rRNA". It matches the Rfam family "Bacterial small subunit ribosomal RNA", at positions 28 to 776 of the family's 1533-position model. The record is from RNAcentral. Lineage: Bacteria; Bacillati; Bacillota; Bacilli; Lactobacillales; Streptococcaceae.
GAUGAACGCUGGCGGCGUGCCUAAUACAUGCAAGUAGAACGCUGAAGAGAGGAGCUUGCUCUUCUUGGAUGAGUUGCGAACGGGUGAGUAACGCGUAGGUAACCUGCCUUGUAGCGGGGGAUAACUAUUGGAAACGAUAGCUAAUACCGCAUAACAAUGGAUGACACAUGUCAUUUAUUUGAAAGGGGCAAUUGCUCCACUACAAGAUGGACCUGCGUUGUAUUAGCUAGUAGGUGAGGUAACGGCUCACCUAGGCGACGAUACAUAGCCGACCUGAGAGGGUGAUCGGCCACACUGGGACUGAGACACGGCCCAGACUCCUACGGGAGGCAGCAGUAGGGAAUCUUCGGCAAUGGGGGCAACCCUGACCGAGCAACGCCGCGUGAGUGAAGAAGGUUUUCGGAUCGUAAAGCUCUGUUGUAAGUCAAGAACGAGUGUGAGAGUGGAAAGUUCACACUGUGACGGUAGCUUACCAGAAAGGGACGGCUAACUACGUGCCAGCAGCCGCGGUAAUACGUAGGUCCCGAGCGUUGUCCGGAUUUAUUGGGCGUAAAGCGAGCGCAGGCGGUUAGAUAAGUCUGAAGUUAAAGGCUGUGGCUCAACCAUAGUUCGCUUUGGAAACUGUCAAACUUGAGUGCAGAAGGGGAGAGUGGAAUUCCAUGUGUAGCGGUGAAAUGCGUAGAUAUAUGGAGGAACACCGGUGGCGAAAGCGGCUCUCUGGUCUGUAACUGACGCUGAGGCUCGAAAGCGUGGGGAGCGAACAGG